Molecule: microRNA precursor, 207 nt
Organism: Oryza sativa Japonica Group (Japanese rice)
Lineage: Eukaryota; Viridiplantae; Streptophyta; Magnoliopsida; Poales; Poaceae
Rfam family: MIR812 microRNA precursor family
Source: Rfam
AAUGUAUGACGUCGUUGAUUUUUUGUCCAACGUUUGACCAUUCGUCUUAUUCAAAAAAAAAUUGUGUAAUUAUCAUUUAUUUUAUUGUGACUUGAUUCAUCAUCCAAUGUUCUUUAAGCAUGACAUAAAUAUUUUCAUAUUUGCACCAAAAUUUUGAAUAAAACGAAUGGUCAAACGUUGGUCGAAAAGUCAACGGCGUCAUACAUU